ACGUAGGAGGCAAGCGUUAUCCGGAAUUACUGGGCGUAAAGGGCGUCUAGGCGGACGGGCAAGCGCGAUGUGAAAUCUCCCGGCUUAACUGGGAAACUGCAUCGGAAACUGAUCGGCUUGAAGGUGGGAGAGGGUAGUGGAAUUCCCGGUGUAGUGGUGAAAUGCGUAGAUAUCGGGAGGAACACCAGUGGCGAAGGCGACUACCUGGCCCAUUCUUGACGCUGAGGCGCGAAAGCUAGGGGAGCGAACGGG
Molecule: ribosomal RNA, 252 nt
Filed under: uncultured bacterium
Lineage: Bacteria
Description: partial 16S ribosomal RNA
Rfam family: Bacterial small subunit ribosomal RNA
Source: RNAcentral